GAUUCGGUAGUUCAGCUGGUUAGAAUGCCGCCCUGUCACGGCGGAGGUCGCGGGUUCGAGUCCCGUCCGGAUCGCAA
RNAcentral lists this transfer RNA (77 nucleotides) under Chryseobacterium sp. CBo1. RNAcentral describes it as "tRNA-Asp". It matches the Rfam family "tRNA". From Rfam's summary of the family: Transfer RNA (tRNA) molecules are approximately 80 nucleotides in length. Their secondary structure includes four short double-helical elements and three loops (D, anti-codon, and T loops). The record is from RNAcentral. Lineage: Bacteria; Pseudomonadati; Bacteroidota; Flavobacteriia; Flavobacteriales; Weeksellaceae.